AGGACAUGAAAAUGAACAGGUAACUGUUAGUGUUACAGAUUGCUCAGAUAUGUUACAAUGUAUUGUUUCAAUAAAUUGAAAUUUUUACUGAUGAUACCUCAAAAUCGUCAACCUUAAUGGAAAAUUUAAAUUCUCUUUGGUUUAAAUAUACAUGCAUUUCUUCCUAUAGUUUAUGUAGGGGGUAUGCUGCUGCCAGAUCUGUUGGAUUGCUUCCAAUCAUAAUGCCAAGACAUUCCAGGUGAAUUAAGGCCAUGCAUUUGGUGGUCUCAGAAAAAACCUUGACAGCUCUGUCUGUAAUGAUACCUGUCUUUCAGAUUUUCUCUACACGGGAAAUUAAAUUCAUCUGUUAAUGUAGUUCUUUAUACUUACUCCCUCUCUUUGGCUGAUUGAUGCUGGACCUGCUACUGGAGAUUCCAGGUCUAUACAUUUUAGGAAGAAAUUUGGGAAAUUUAAUUAAGUAGUAGUAGUCAAAAUGAUAAUAGCGUGAA
RNAcentral lists this unclassified non-coding RNA (488 nucleotides) under Hevea brasiliensis (rubber tree). The record is from RNAcentral. Lineage: Eukaryota; Viridiplantae; Streptophyta; Magnoliopsida; Malpighiales; Euphorbiaceae.